RNAcentral lists this ribosomal RNA (492 nucleotides) under uncultured bacterium. RNAcentral's name for it is "partial 16S ribosomal RNA". It matches the Rfam family "Bacterial small subunit ribosomal RNA", at positions 29 to 507 of the family's 1533-position model. The record is from RNAcentral.
AGUGAACGCUGGCGGUAGGCCUAACACAUGCAAGUCGAACGGCAGCACAGUAAGAGCUUGCUCUUACGGGUGGCGAGUGGCGGACGGGUGAGGAAUACAUCGGAAUCUACUUUUUCGUGGGGGAUAACGUAGGGAAACUUACGCUAAUACCGCAUACGACCUACGGGUGAAAGCAGGGGAUCUUCGGACCUUGCGCGAUUGAAUGAGCCGAUGUCGGUUUAGCUAGUUGGCGGGGUAAAGGCCCACCAAGGCGACGAUCCGUAGCUGGUCUGAGAGGAUGAUCAGCCACACUGGAACAGGAACACGGUCCAUACUCCUACGAGAGGGAGCAGUGUGGAAUAUUGGACAAGAGGCGCAAGCCUGAUCCAGCCAUACCGCGUGGGUGAAGAAGGCCUUCGGGUUGUAAAGCCCUUUUGUUGGGAAAGAAAAGCAGCAGGUUAAUACCCCGCUGUUCUGACGGUACCCAAAGAAUAAGCACCGGCUAACUUCGUG